Long non-coding RNA from Acinonyx jubatus (cheetah), 727 nucleotides. RefSeq lists it as uncharacterized. The transcript is spliced from 3 exons. Lineage: Eukaryota; Metazoa; Chordata; Mammalia; Carnivora; Felidae. The record is from RefSeq and is a predicted model, not a curated record.
AACAUCAGGUUUUAACAUUUUCCCUGCCACAUCGCCUUACUUAUAUACAUUUUGGCCAGCAGAUGGCAGCACUCAACCAAGGUUAUUUUCAGCAAAACUCCAGACAAAACCUGAGAUUGCAAAGAGGGGAGGUAAAACAAUGAGACAUCUUCAACCCAGGAGUUGAAGGUGACAAUGUCAUUAUGUGAUGUACAGUCACUAUAGGGAGAUGCCAUUUUUAUUGGCACUUAAGUGAUGAGGCAGGAAGGAAAGAACUUGUAAACAGUGAGACUUGGAAGAAACUCCACUUGGUUCUCUCUCUCCUCUCCUCUGUCUUCUCCCCCAAAGCCCAGAACUGCUCCCAUGAAAGUCUGAUACCCGACCCCCUUAUCUCAGCCAUCUUUACUAGUUGCUGAGCCCCAGGGCAGGCCAGAGACAGGUUUAAAACACCACAGCUAGCAGGUGCCAGAGCUAGGACUUAAAGACAAGAAUUUGGAUAAGCCCAGUCCUUCCACUGGAACGGAAACUGGUUCUGAGCUCAUGCCAUUUAUUUGCAAAAUGAGUGGGCUCAAAGGUAACAGGGACCUGGGCACCAAGGAUUCCCUGAUGAAGAAUCCUUGCAGUUCAUUUUGACCCACAAUAUCCCGAGACAGACCUUUUGUAUUGCUUUGGAGCCUCUUCCCACAUCUGCAGCUGAAUGUGACAGGAUGUGGGUAAGAGGACUUAGAUACCGCGAUGCAGGAAUCCC